RNAcentral lists this ribosomal RNA (404 nucleotides) under uncultured bacterium. RNAcentral's name for it is "bacterial SSU rRNA". It matches the Rfam family "Bacterial small subunit ribosomal RNA", at positions 355 to 775 of the family's 1533-position model. The record is from RNAcentral.
CAGGGAAUAUUGCACAAUGGACGGAAGUCUGAUGCAGCGACGCCGCGUGGAUGACGAAGGCCUCCGGGUCGUAAAAUCCUUUUUGGGGGGAAGAGAGAGGACGGUACCCCCGGAAUAAGCGUCGGCUAACUACGUGCCAGCAGCCGCGGUAAUACGUAGGACGCGAGCGUUAUCCGGAUUUACUGGGCGUAAAGCGUCUGUAGGCGGUAGCGUAAGUUGGAUGUGAAAGCUCCGGGCUUAACUCGGAGAGGCCAUUCAAUACUGCGCGACUAGAGGGCGUGAGGGGGGAGCGGAAUUUCCGGUGUAGCGGUAAAAUGCGCAGAUAUCGGGAGGAACACCAGUGGCGCAGGCGGCUCCCUGGUACGCACCUGACGCUGAGAGACGAAAGCUAGGGGAGCGAACAG